This 2899-nucleotide long non-coding RNA is filed under the name Homo sapiens (human). Its description in RNAcentral is "HSALNT0298238". The record is from RNAcentral. Lineage: Eukaryota; Metazoa; Chordata; Mammalia; Primates; Hominidae.
CACACACACCACCCCUGGUACCUAAUGCAGAAGAGACCGCCUUUACAUGAGCAAAUGGUCCUCUCUUCACUUCUGUCUCCUUUCGUGGUUACCUCAGAAAGCCAAGCAUGUAAUCAGGUAAUUUGCUUUGGGGGAAGCCAGCUGCCAUGUUGUAAGCAGCCAUAUGAAGAGAUCCAUAUGGUGAGAACUGAGACCUCCAGCUACAGCCACAUGAGGGAGCCUGGAAGUGGAUUCCCCUGCCCUGUCAUAUCUUCAGAUGACUGCAGCCCUGCCCAACACCUUGAGUGCAACCUCAUGAGAGACCUUGAGACAGAACCACCCAAUUAAGUUACUCCCAGGUUCCUGACUCUCAGAAACUGUAUAAGAUUAUAGAUAUUUGUUGUUUUAAGCUGUUAAAGUUUUCAAUUAAUUUGUUAUGUGUCCUAAUACAAAGCAAAAGGUACUAUAGGUUUUUGUUUUGUUUUGCUUUUCUUCUAAUUUUUAAGUGACUUGAGGAUAGGAGCCACAUCUUAUUCAUCUACAGGUUUAGCAGAGUGCCUAAGGACAUAACAGAUCCAAUAACCAUUUUCUGAAUGAAUGAUCCUCUCCUUCCUGUUUUUAUCAUUAAAGUAAAUUCAAUGAAAAUUACACUUCCAGACUUCUGGCUUAACUAAGGAUUUUUUUUUUUUUUUUUUAAUACUGUGGUUUAACCCAGAGUAUAUAGAAGAGAAAAAAAUUCUGAAAUGAGAUCACUUUUCAGAAGGUCCAAUUUUUUAAAUGCUCCUACCAUUAAGAGUUCAAUAUAAAUUUACAAUGAGCCUCACUGAGCAAUUUAGGAAGCCUUGGCCUUCUGCCUUAUAAGCAUUCAUGAUUACAAACUAAAACUUGGCCUCACCACCUAAGACAUGACAGCAUGAUGGGAAAGACUAAAGGCUGACGUAAGUGUAAAAGAAAGAAACUCCCGUAGGUCUUGGGUUUAGGGAGCAGUAUUUACACUCAUUAUGAGUUGGGGAAAAAGUUCCUAAAGGUAAGUAUCACUUGGUAACUUAAACCGCUUGGGGGGAAUCCGGGAGUAAAUACCUUCUCAGUUUCCAUAAGUGGGAACUAUAUUCUGCAGUAGCAGGAGUUAGUUCUGAUAGAUACUUCAUAGUAUAUCCAUCCCUCCAGAUCCACCAACCCCCAUAGUCUGAUAAGUUCCUAUCGGGAAAACACAGGUUACAUAAAGGAGUAAAAUAAUCCCAUUACCAUGUAGAGAAAUAAAGAUGCAUCCAUUUGGAAACCUCUUAGGAGAUGCGCUUGCUUGAGCUGACAUUUACUAACAGAGCAACAUUUCUUUUUUUUCCCACUGACUAAGCCCCUUUCCUAGACAAUGAUCUCCUCUGGGAGAGAGUUAUUAGAAUUAUUACUCCAGAGUGUUAGUGAAAAGGGUUCACUGAGUAGAAAGAAGAAAAGCAAAGGUUUUGCUCAGCACAGUUAAAGUUUUACCAAAGGGAAGUUCAAGUUGCAUGAAUGAAAAGGACAGCCUUUCACUGGGAAAUAAUUUCCCUGGAUUGCACAAGCUAUACCUUCAGGGAACAUGAACCAGGAUAAUCUCUAGCCUUCUUCUCUUCAGGGAAAGAAAAGACUCAGGAAAUGCUGUCUUUCUUGUCUCCACCCUAAACUAGCUGACAACUAAAUACAGCUCAGGAAGCCAACAGCCAGAAUCAUUUUUUAUUUUUGUCAUCUAAGAAAUUCACUAAAAUAUUAAAAGAGAAAAGCACUGAAUGGGGUGGUACAAAAAAGGGCCUCAGGUUCAGUUAAUUUCCAUUCCAGAAAACAAGCUUUGAUUCUUGCAUCACUUGACAAAGACUGCUUACUUCUCAAAAAUGUGAGUACCGACCUGAAGACACGAAGUAAUGUGUUCUAAAGACUAAACCUUAAACUAACCGGGCUCACUGGAAAAAUAAAUGAACAGCUGUGUUCUUUAAUGUAUAUCUAUUUUUUCAUUAAAAUAAACAAAUAGAUGAAAAAUACAUUAAAUUUUAUUUUACUUAUUUUAUUUUAUGGUUUUUUUCUUUUUCUUUUUUUUUUUUUUUUUUUGAGCCAGAGUCUCACUUUGUCACCCAGGCUGGAGUGCAAUGGCGUGAUCCUGGCUCACUGCAACAGCCCCCUUGAUUCAAGCGAUUCUCCUGCCUCAGCCUCCCGAGUAACUGGGAUUACAGGCAUGUGCCACUGUGCCUGGCUAAUUUUUGUAUUUUUAGUAGAGACAUGGUUUCACCAUGUUAGCCAGGCUGGUCUCAAACUCCUGACCUCAAGUGAUCCACCCGCCUCGGCCUCCCAAAGUGCUGGGAUUACAGGUGCACGCCACUGCACCUGGCCUCUAAAUUUUAAUAUAUAUAUUUAAAACAUGAAUACAAUUCUAGGAAAACAAAGGCAUUUUAAAUUUUGAAUCUUCAAAUUUUGAUAUUAAGAAGGUAAAGAUUGUGAUGUCUCCUUCCUCUCAGGAAUCAUCUGUAAAACAAGGAGACAAAAACAGAAAUACAUUCUCCAUCUUUGAUGGAAAUAGGAGUCACAGGUGAACCCGAACCAUGGUAUAUGAAGUUGCAAAGCAGAGUGCAGGGUAGUAAUUGAUCAAGAGGUAUACAGGAAGUGAACCAUAAACACAGACCAAAUGGGAUAUCAACAAGAAGCAGGACUCUUCUCCCCAAAAUCUCGGGCAUCAUGGGGCAUUGCAUAUCAGGUAUUGGUGUAGGGCAGGGGCCUGUGAGGCCUGGGGCUGAAAACAAGUGGGGCUGGCUGAAACUUGGCCUCAACAUCCUCCACCUACUUCCUAAAAGGCAUAGCAAGCAUUCUUCCUCCCUAUUUUCUCUUUGUAAAAAAUUAGCUAGAGAAGUUCUGAUAACAGAAAUAGAAGGAGCAGUGGGGUGAGGAAGAAGCAGAG